RNAcentral lists this ribosomal RNA (458 nucleotides) under uncultured Sphingobacteriales bacterium. RNAcentral's name for it is "bacterial SSU rRNA". It matches the Rfam family "Bacterial small subunit ribosomal RNA", at positions 923 to 1382 of the family's 1533-position model. Lineage: Bacteria; Pseudomonadati; Bacteroidota; Sphingobacteriia; Sphingobacteriales. The record is from RNAcentral.
GCACAAGCGGAGGAACAUGUGGUUUAAUUCGAUGAUACGCGAGGAACCUUACCUGGGCUAGAACGCAAUCGGAAUCAGGCCGAAAGGCCUGCGCCAGCGAUGGCCGGUUGCGAGGUGCUGCAUGGUUGUCGUCAGCUCGUGCCGUGAGGUGUCGGGUUAAGUCCCAUAACGAGCGCAACCCUACCUUUAGUUGCCAUCAGGUAAUGCUGGGGACUCUAAAGGAACUGCCUACGCAAGUAGUGAGGAAGGCGGGGAUGACGUCAAAUCAGCACGGCCCUUACGUCCAGGGCUACACACGUGCUACAAUGGCCGAUACAGAGGGCAGCUACCUGGUGACAGGAUGCAAAUCUCCAAAGUCGGUCUCAGUUCGGAUCGGAAUCUGCAACCCGACUCCGUGAAGUUGGAUUCGCUAGUAAUCGCGCAUCAGCCAUGGCGCGGUGAAUACGUUCCCGGGCCUU